Molecule: transfer RNA, 73 nt
Filed under: Sphaerodactylus townsendi
Lineage: Eukaryota; Metazoa; Chordata; Lepidosauria; Squamata; Sphaerodactylidae
Description: tRNA-Ala
Rfam family: tRNA
About the family: Transfer RNA (tRNA) molecules are approximately 80 nucleotides in length. Their secondary structure includes four short double-helical elements and three loops (D, anti-codon, and T loops). Further hydrogen bonds mediate the characteristic L-shaped molecular structure. tRNAs have two regions of fundamental functional importance: the anti-codon, which is responsible for specific mRNA codon recognition, and the 3' end, to which the tRNAs corresponding amino acid is attached (by aminoacyl-tRNA synthetases). tRNAs cope with the degeneracy of the genetic code in two manners: having more than one tRNA (with a specific anti-codon) for a particular amino acid; and 'wobble' base-pairing, i.e. permitting non-standard base-pairing at the 3rd anti-codon position.
Source: RNAcentral
GGAGAUGUGGCUGACUGGAAAGGGCCUCUGAAUUGCAUUUAGAACAUCCCAGGGUCAAUUCCUGGCAUCUCCA